This 478-nucleotide ribosomal RNA is filed under the name uncultured bacterium. Its description in RNAcentral is "bacterial SSU rRNA". It matches the Rfam family "Bacterial small subunit ribosomal RNA", at positions 28 to 524 of the family's 1533-position model. The record is from RNAcentral.
GACGAACGCUGGCGGCGUGCCUAACACAUGCAAGUCGAACGAGGUCCAUCCUUCGGGAGAAGACCUAGUGGCGAACGGGUGAGUAACACGUGAAGAACCUGCCCCGAAGACCGGGAUAACCCUCCGAAAGGAGAGCUAAUACCGGAUACCCCCACCGAACCGCAUGGUUUGGUGAGGAAAUGGAUUCCGCUUCGGGAGGGCUUCGCGGCCUAUCAGCUAGUUGGUGGGGUAACGGCCACCAAGGCAUCGACGGGUAGCUGGUCUGAGAGGACGAUCAGCCACACUGGGACUGAGACACGGCCCAGACUCCUACGGGAGGCAGCAGUGGGGAAUCUUGCGCAAUGGGCGAAAGCCUGACGCAGCAACGCCGCGUGGGGGAUGAAGGCUCUCGGGUUGUAAACCCCUUUCAGCAGGGACGAAUCAAGACGGUACCUGCAGAAGAAGCCCCGGCUAACUACGUGCCAGCAGCCGCGGUAAU